Molecule: unclassified non-coding RNA, 253 nt
Filed under: uncultured fungus
Lineage: Eukaryota; Fungi
Description: sequence contains ITS1, 5.8S rRNA gene
Rfam family: 5.8S ribosomal RNA (bases 205-253)
Source: RNAcentral
UUUCCGUAGGUGAACCUUCGGAAGGAUCAUUACCGAAAUGCAGCGGGGGCAGACGGCCGCAAGGUCGCCGGCCGCCGCGUACACGCAUUCCACCACCCUUGACUUUGAGCACCGUUAUGUUUCCUCGGCAGGGACGCCUGCCAGCGGGGACCCAUCGAACACUUGUAGUAGCAGUAUUUGUCUGAGAAUAAACACAAAAAUCAAAACUUUCAACAAUGGAUCUCUUGGUUCUGGCAUCGAUGAAGAACGCAGC